UGGUGGAGUGAUUAGUCUGGUGAAUUCCGGUAACGAACGAGACCUUAGCCUGCUAACUAGUAGGAAUCGACUCCUGUCGGUGCUGACUUCUUAGAGGGACUUUGUGUCAUAAUCACAAGGAAGUUUGAGGCAAUAACA
Molecule: ribosomal RNA, 138 nt
Filed under: uncultured eukaryote
Lineage: Eukaryota
Description: partial 18S ribosomal RNA
Rfam family: Eukaryotic small subunit ribosomal RNA
Source: RNAcentral